CAGUAGCCGCGGUAAAACGAACCGUGCGAACGUUAUUCGGAAUCACUGGGCUUAAAGCGCGUGUAGGCGGAUGGGAGCGUCGGCCUCUGAAAUCCCCCGGCUCAACCGGGGAAGUGGAGCCGAAACGACCCGUCUGGAGGGACGUAGGGGGACCUGGAACUUCCGGUGGAGCGGUGAAAUGCGUUGAGAUCGGAAGGAACGCCCGUGGCGAAAGCGAGGUCCUGGACGUCUGCUGACGCUGAGACGCGAAAGCCAGGGGAGCGAACGGGAUUAGAUACCCCCGUAGUCCCUGUCUCUUAUA
RNAcentral lists this ribosomal RNA (301 nucleotides) under uncultured bacterium. Its description in RNAcentral is "partial 16S ribosomal RNA". It matches the Rfam family "Bacterial small subunit ribosomal RNA", at positions 509 to 807 of the family's 1533-position model. The record is from RNAcentral.